UACCAUCUGUGAAAGCAGAGUUUGACUCUUUGAGUCACAUAGUGACAGGUGGUGCAUGGCUGUCGUCAGCUCGUGUCGUGAGAUGUUGGGUUAAGUCCCGCAACGAGCGUAACCCCUGUCCUUAGUUGCCAGCACAUAAUGGUGGGGACUCUAAGGAGACUGCCAUAGAAAAAAUAUGGAGGAAGGUGGGGAUGACGUCAAGUCAUCAUGCCCCUUAUACUCUGGGCUACACACGUGCUACAAUGGUCUAAACAGAGGGUGGCGAGAUCGCGAGAUCAAGCUAAUCCCACAAAUUAGAUCUCAGUUCGGAUUGCAGAUUGCAAUUCACCUGCAUGAAGCUGGAGUCGCUAGUAAUCGUGGAUCAGAAUGCCACGGUGAAUAAGUUCUCGGGCCUUGUACGCACCGCCCGUCACACCACCCGAGUUGGGGACACCAGAAGUCAUUUGCUUUUGCAAGUGCCGAAGGUGUGCCCGAUAAGGGGGGUGAAGUCGUAACAAGGUAGCCGUAAUCUUGCU
RNAcentral lists this ribosomal RNA (515 nucleotides) under uncultured bacterium. Its description in RNAcentral is "bacterial SSU rRNA". It matches the Rfam family "Bacterial small subunit ribosomal RNA", at positions 993 to 1513 of the family's 1533-position model. The record is from RNAcentral.